RNAcentral lists this ribosomal RNA (717 nucleotides) under uncultured bacterium. Its description in RNAcentral is "bacterial SSU rRNA". It matches the Rfam family "Bacterial small subunit ribosomal RNA", at positions 102 to 806 of the family's 1533-position model. The record is from RNAcentral.
ACGGGUGAGUAACACGUGGGUAACCUGCCCAUCAGAAGGGGAUAACACUUGGAAACAGGUGCUAAUACCGUAUAACACUAUUUUCCGCAUGGAAGAAAGUUGAAAGGCGCUUUUGCGUCACUGAUGGAUGGACCCGCGGUGCAUUAGCUAGUUGGUGAGGUGACGGCUCACCAAGGCCACGAUGCAUAGCCGACCUGAGAGGGUGAUCGGCCACACUGGGACUGAGACACGGCCCAGACUCCUACGGGAGGCAGCAGUAGGGAAUCUUCGGCAAUGGGCGAAAGUCUGACCGAGCAACGCCGCGUGAGUGAAGAAGGUUUUCGGAUCGUAAAACUCUGUUGUUAGAGAAGAACAAGGAUGAGAGUAGAACGUUCAUCCCUUGACGGUAUCUAACCAGAAAGCCACGGCUAACUACGUGCCAGCAGCCGCGGUAAUACGUAGGUGGCAAGCGUUGUCCGGAUUUAUUGGGCGUAAAGCGAGCGCAGGCGGUUUCUUAAGUCUGAUGUGAAAGCCCCCGGCUCAACCGGGGAGGGUCAUUGGAAACUGGGAGACUUGAGUGCAGAAGAGGAGAGUGGAAUUCCAUGUGUAGCGGUGAAAUGCGUAGAUAUAUGGAGGAACACCAGUGGCGAAGGCGGCUCUCUGGUCUGUAACUGACGCUGAGGCUCGAAAGCGUGGGGAGCGAACAGGAUUAGAUACCCUGGUAGUCCACGCCGUAAA